UCGGGGAUCGUCUAAUGGUAGGACAUCGGCCUUUGAAGCCGUCAAUCUAGGUUCGAGCCCUAGUCCCCGAA
This 71-nucleotide transfer RNA is filed under the name Candidatus Woesebacteria bacterium. RNAcentral describes it as "tRNA-Gln". It matches the Rfam family "tRNA". From Rfam's summary of the family: Transfer RNA (tRNA) molecules are approximately 80 nucleotides in length. Their secondary structure includes four short double-helical elements and three loops (D, anti-codon, and T loops). Lineage: Bacteria; Candidatus Woeseibacteriota. RNAcentral also lists the same sequence under 1 other name. The record is from RNAcentral.